Molecule: transfer RNA, 92 nt
Organism: Pleurotus ostreatus PC15
Lineage: Eukaryota; Fungi; Basidiomycota; Agaricomycetes; Agaricales; Pleurotaceae
Rfam family: tRNA
About the family: Transfer RNA (tRNA) molecules are approximately 80 nucleotides in length. Their secondary structure includes four short double-helical elements and three loops (D, anti-codon, and T loops).
Source: Rfam
GCCCGCCUAGCUCAAUCGGAUAGAGCGUCAGACUCUUACUUAAGUCUGCUUAGGCGAUCUGAAGGCUGCGAGUUCGACCCUCGCGGUGGGCU